AAGGAAACCCUCCUGAGACAUCGGUCCUUUGGCGGCACAGGGCACGGGGAAUCAUCGUCACUGCUGUCCUUCUCCUCCUGGGUCUGGCCCUGGCCACGUCCCUCCUUGCUGUGAUACUUCUAGAUCUCCAGGCACAGAGCAAGCUGCAAGCGGUUGAAGAAGCGGUGCAGAAGCUCCAAGUCUCUCUGCAGCCUGACAACGCCUCGGACGCGUCAGCAAAGGGUUCGGACACUCUGCAGCUAUUGGAUGAAGCGCAGGCAGGAGUCCGGAAGCUGAAAGCCCAGCUGGGUAAAGUCAGUGCAGCGUAUGGAGAAAUCCAGAUCCAGCUGGACAACGUCAGUGCAGCGCAAGCAG
This is a long non-coding RNA of Mauremys reevesii (Reeves's turtle), 354 nucleotides long. RefSeq lists it as uncharacterized. NCBI's taxonomy places the organism in Eukaryota, Metazoa, Chordata, Testudines, Geoemydidae. The record is from RefSeq and is a predicted model, not a curated record. The transcript has 3 exons.